AAAACCGCCACUGUAAAGAGAAUGAAAGUUGUGCUCACGUGAUUGUUGGAUGAGUAAGGAGACCCUGCUGCUUGAGUUUAAACAUUAGAGACGCCUACAUAAGCACAGCAAAAAUAGAGAUGCUAGUACAAGUUUCUUGGCUGACUGAUGCACUAUGAGGGUAGCCAAUUGGAUUAGGCUACUAUCAUUGAUGAGGGGUUUGCUACUGUGGGGCUGGGGUGGUCCCGAUGGCUACUAUUGAUGUGUUAGCCCUAGCCUCAAGAGAUGGUUCUUCUAGAACAUGUAAGUACUCAUUUACAAUGAGCAUUUUAUUAAUUUGUAUCAAGUGAGAUAGUGGCUGGAUACAUUUAGUUAAGUCUAGGCAAGCAUUUUCUAGAUUUGUUUUUUCCCUCCUUUUAAAAGUCUUUAUGUGUGUGUGUGUGUGUGCGCGUGUGCAUGUUCAUGUGUUGGUUCUGGACUUCACCUUGUUUGAGACACACUGAGCCACAGACUUCUGGGGCCCUUCAUGCCUCCACCUUCUGUCUUCAGCAGGAGAGAUGAGGUUAGAGAUUCACUCGACAUGGGUUUUGGGGCUCUGGACUCAGUUCUUUACCCUUGCAAGCUCCCCAGCCCAUCCCCUCUUCCUGCAGGCAGUAUGGAGACGUAGCUCAGGUUGGUCUGGAACUUG
This 667-nucleotide long non-coding RNA is filed under the name Mus pahari (shrew mouse). Its description in RNAcentral is "RIKEN cDNA A830036E02 gene (MGP_PahariEiJ_G0002616.1)". Lineage: Eukaryota; Metazoa; Chordata; Mammalia; Rodentia; Muridae. The record is from RNAcentral.